GUCUAUGGCCAUGCACCCUGAACGAGCCCAAUGUCUAUUCUCAGAAGCUAAGCAGGGUCAGGCCUGGUUAGUACUUGGAUGGGAGACCACCUAGGAAGACCAAGUGCUGUAGGUA
RNAcentral lists this ribosomal RNA (115 nucleotides) under Pteropus alecto (black flying fox). Lineage: Eukaryota; Metazoa; Chordata; Mammalia; Chiroptera; Pteropodidae. The record is from RNAcentral.